This 253-nucleotide ribosomal RNA is filed under the name uncultured bacterium. RNAcentral's name for it is "partial 16S ribosomal RNA". It matches the Rfam family "Bacterial small subunit ribosomal RNA", at positions 524 to 776 of the family's 1533-position model. The record is from RNAcentral.
UACGGAGGGUGCAAGCGUUAUCCGGAUUCAUUGGGUCUAAAGGGUGCGUAGGCGGACCUGUAAGUCAGUGGUGAAAUCUCUCAGCUUAACUGAGAAACUGCCAUUGAUACUGCAAGUCUAGAGUAUAGAUGACGUUGGCGGAAUAUGACAUGUAGUGGUGAAAUACUUAGAUAUGUCAUAGAACACCGAUUGCGAAGGCAGCUAACGAAACUAUAACUGACGCUGAGGCACGAAAGUGCGGGGAUCAAACAGG